This 209-nucleotide unclassified non-coding RNA is filed under the name soil metagenome. Its description in RNAcentral is "partial contains 5.8S ribosomal RNA, internal transcribed spacer 2, and large subunit ribosomal RNA". The record is from RNAcentral.
AAGACUAUAGACCUGCGGAGUACCUGCGGAGGGAUCAUUACCGAGUUUACAACUCCCAAACCCCUGUGAACAUACCACUUGUUGCCUCGGCGGAUCAGCCCGCUCCCGGUAAAACGGGACGGCCCGCCAGAGGACCCCUAAACUCUGUUUCUAUAUGUAACUUCUGAGUAAAACCAUAAAUAAAUCAAAACUUUCAGCAACGGAUCUCU